AUGCUCACUUCGGCAGCAUGUAUACAAAAAUUGGAACGAUACAGAGAAGAUUAGUAUGGCCCCUGUGCAAGGAUGACACCCAAAUUCAUGAAGCGUUCCAUAUUUUU
Molecule: small nuclear RNA, 107 nt
Filed under: Notamacropus eugenii (tammar wallaby)
Lineage: Eukaryota; Metazoa; Chordata; Mammalia; Diprotodontia; Macropodidae
Source: RNAcentral